CAAGCAAGCCGGGCGGUUGCGUGCGGCGAGGCCGUACGAGGAAAGUCCGAGCUCCAUAGAGCAGGGUGCUGGGUAACACCCAGUGGGGGCGACCCCAAGGAAAGUGCCACAGAAACAUACCGCCGGCCUUGGCCGGCAAGGGUGAAAUGGUGAGGCAAGAGCUCACCGGCAGCAGGGUGAUCUGCUGGCCGGGUAAACCCCACCUGGAGCAAGACCGUGUAGGAAGGCGAUGCGCUCCGGCGCGUCGGGGCUGCUCGUCCUGGUCCUUCGGGUAAGGUCGCUUGAGGCAACGAGAAAUCGCUGCCCUAGAUAGAUGAUCGCCACCCGCUCGGUCGCAAGGCCGGGAGGGAACAGAACUCGGCUUACGGCUUGCUUGGGCC
Molecule: RNase P RNA, 380 nt
Filed under: Chloroflexota bacterium
Lineage: Bacteria; Bacillati; Chloroflexota
Description: Chloroflexi bacterium RNase P RNA component class A
Rfam family: Bacterial RNase P class A
About the family: Ribonuclease P (RNase P) is a ubiquitous endoribonuclease, found in archaea, bacteria and eukarya as well as chloroplasts and mitochondria. Its best characterised activity is the generation of mature 5'-ends of tRNAs by cleaving the 5'-leader elements of precursor-tRNAs. Cellular RNase Ps are ribonucleoproteins.
Source: RNAcentral